UGCUGCUAUACCUUUUCUCUUGUAUCCACCAAUUAGAACACUGUAUUUUAAAUUAUCCAAUCGAUGGACGUGGCCAUUCUGGUGCCACCCGCGUCACAUGGCCCGACAUGCUCCUAUUCAGGCUUCCAACAUACUCCAAUACGUCGAUUCCGAUGACGCCAACCUAUUAGAGUGCGUUGGAGUGAGUAGGAGCAUGCAUGUCAGUGCAUGGCGACGCGAACAUACCAUUGGACUCCGCGAGAUACCUCACCGAGACGCGUGCUCUCAUUGGUCGUCACGUGUGCUCGUGCAAUCGGAUCGACUUUUACCACAAGAUUCGAUUUUUUUUCUGUCCCGCUACCACUGUGACCAUGUUGUUGACGACGUUUUGGCGCACGGUACAUUGAUCGAAUUUCAUAACCGCGGUCACAAUUAGUUGAUCGUCCUCUAUCGAGCCGAACUUCUAGAUGUCACGGUCCUCGUCUCGCAAAUCAUUCUAUCUAUUAUUUGCCUGGCGGCAGCGCUGUCAACGGUACGGCGAAAGCGAGCGACAGACGAGAACGCGAGCGAGUGCAGCGCCGCCGCCAUCAGCGCGACCGCCAUCGCAACGAGGUCCCCGCUGUUCUGUUCAUCACAACUUAUCUACGAAGAGAUGCGCGUAGAUUUAAGAUUGAUCAGUCCGAGUUCCUGUGCGACAAGCAUGGAGGUAUUAUCGCCAUCGAGUCAGUAAUUUGAGCAAGGAAGCGAGGGAGUGAGUUGGUUUGGCACGCGUCGCCCGCCGUCGCGCGAAAGCAAGCCCAUCGUAUUACUCCACGCUCACGUCGGGUCAGCUGCUGCUGUUCCUGCACUACCGUGCUGCCUAUCUUACGCUAGAUUGUUGGUGUGUGUACACAUUAAUCGCCGCCGCCACCACCGUAACCGUAAUUGCAAUCGUGAUACUUCUAUCAGGGUGCGCCGUGCGGGUUUGUGUACGAUGGAGCUACGUGUUGGUAACAAGUACCGGUUAGGACGAAAAAUCGGGAGCGGCUCCUUUGGCGACAUUUAUCUAGGUACUAAUAUUUCUACCGGUGAGGAAGUCGCUAUCAAGUUGGAAUGUAUAAAAACACGACAUCCACAGCUGCAUAUAGAGUCAAAGUUUUACAAAAUGAUGCAAGGAGGUGUUGGAAUACCAACUAUAAAAUGGUGUGGUUCCGAAGGUGAUUAUAAUGUAAUGGUGAUGGAGUUACUUGGACCAUCUUUAGAAGACUUAUUUAAUUUUUGUUCAAGACGUUUUUCUCUGAAAACAGUCCUGCUUCUUGCCGAUCAGUUGAUAAGUAGAACAGAUUACAUUCACAGUCGCAACUUCAUUCAUCGUGAUAUUAAACCGGACAACUUUUUGAUGGGUCUAGGAAAGAAGGGAAAUCUCGUUUACAUUAUAGAUUUCGGAUUGGCUAAAAAAUAUCGCGAUGGACGCACACACAAGCACAUACCUUAUCGAGAAAACAAGAAUUUGACGGGAACUGCCAGAUACGCAAGUAUAAAUACGCAUUUGGGAAUUGAGCAGUCGCGACGGGACGAUCUUGAAUCUCUAGGCUACGUCCUCAUGUACUUUAACAGAGGUAGUUUACCUUGGCAGGGAUUAAAAGCAGCAACUAAGAGACAAAAGUAUGAACGCAUUUCCGAAAAGAAAAUGUCUACUCCUGUAGAAGAACUUUGCAAGGGUUAUCCUGUGGAGUUUGCAUCGUAUUUAAGGUAUUGUCGAGACUUACGCUUCGAAGAAAGGCCAGAUUAUUCGCAUCUCCGACAACUUUUUCGGACACUGUUCCAUGGUCAGGGUUUUACCUAUGACUACGUCUUCGAUUGGAAUAUGUUAAAAUUUGGUAACGCGAGACAACCGACGUUACCCUCCGCACAGCAAGCACCUAUGCACUCGCAACCGUCUAAUGCGGCGCUGCCUUCUGGGACCAACAAUGAUCAGGAACAUCGAUCAAGACCUUACACGCGGCAAUGUUUGCCGAACGCGUCUGUGGCGACGGUAGGCCCAACGCUUGGACCGAAUGCUAGUCUGCGAGCGAUCCGGCAGAAACGCGAGAUGGAGACUCGUGGCGACCAGGACAAUCAGGACAAGAAUGAUCUUCAAGCAUCGGGUGCAGGUGGACAAGAGCGAAGGGUCAGCAUGCGAUUGCAUCGUAGAGAUACGCUACUAGCUGCUGCAGGAGACAUGCAGCCCAAGUCCAAGUGAGUUACUACACAAUAUAGAAUAAAUUCGCUAAACAACUGGGUAUAACUUGCUCUGCUAAACUUCGCGGACGUUUACGAAGAAUACCUCUCAUCAAAAUUCACGAUUUAUCGGUAACCGAAAGCUAUCGCACUAAUUCUAAAUGACAAAAGUAGACAAAGAGGGAACGAAAUUUUCUCCUGUGCCACGGUAGAGAACGCCGAUCAUGAAAAACUCUGAUCAUGGAAAACUUUCAUCGUGCGAGCCUUCUCUCCGAGUUCAUUUUUCCUCAUAAGCUUGUUGAUAUCAUCGACCUAUUCACGUUAUUAAGAAUCUUACGUGAACGAAAGAACUUGAUGGUAUUAUUAUAUUUAACAGCAAAAGAAGAACACAAGUGAUUCUUACAUCUUUAUUCGAUAAUAACGACUGUAUUUUUGAAAACGUUAAGUGUCUUCAAAAGAGAAGAGGAAUAAUAAUAUUUUAAUCUAAUUUGUUUCUUUAGAGAGACUUGCUAUUAGCAUUUACAUUCUCGCCAAAACUCUAUUGUACUUUAGUGUGAAGAAUAAUCAAUUUUAUUAAGUUUUUCUAUUGAAUUAUUGUCUCGCCCUAGCGUCAGUCAAUUAAUCGAUCUCACAUGAAAUUAUAGACAAAGAGAACCAAGUAAGAGUGAAACUGAGGAGGCUAGAUGUAACAGACGAGAGAAGGAGCGCCGAAAAACAAAAAAAGAGCGAAAGAGAGAGCGCGCGCGCAAGAGAGAGAGAAAGAGAGAGUGAAAAAGAGGACAAACUUUAGCUCAUUUAUGUAAUGAAGACCGUGGCACGAUAAUGUCGCUGUUUUGUGUCUUUUGUUUUGGAAGCGCCAAUGCGACGGCAAUCGCUCCACCCACCCUGAUGAUCAGACGGGCAAGCGUGCAACACAAGAAUCAGCAGCAAUAGCGGAUUUAUCGUCUUCGUAACAACUAGCAAUGUCGUUCGUCAAAAAUGACGACUGCCGUCGAUUACCGCCGCCGUCUGCACGGCGCUUUCUCACACAUUACCGCGAGCCAGAAAUGAAUUUACGUGCUAUCACGCGCUACCUUCCGACCAAUGGUAAUUGACUUUUCCGUUAUCACGACGUCACAAAGAUUGUCAGCGAUAUGACACGUGAUGUGUGCGUUGUGCGUGCGUGCGUGCGCGCGCCGAUGGUAGUGCCUGUCCGUGAAGUGGUGAUGGAAACAACUGAUGGUCGCAACUGUUUCAUGCCUAGUGAACAAAAGGAUAAGGAGAAAAAUUGUCGAUUGUUCUUCAUACGUCAAAAAUGGAAACACCGUGACUGCGUUGCGGUGACAAAGUAUAAUGAUGUAGGUAUCGGCAAUGCUUAUUGCAUCUUCAAACGUAAUGAAGCAGCCUCUUAUUGCGGUGCGCAGGAUUCUCAGGAGACUCGGCAAUCGCGCGAGUCGAUUUUACUGGAAUUUCUCUCUUGCAAUCGGAACAAGUCCUGAAUUGAUGAACAGCUUCUCAACAGUAACGUUGAGGAGGGUAACGACGCUUAAACAUCGCCGAAUCCCUAGCGUUCUUUAUACACCGGAUGAUGAAUCAACCGUGAUAGGUUUUUUUUCUUCCGUAGCGAAUCAUAAAUGUACAGUACGCGGAUUCGAUGAUGGAUUCUCGCAGUUGUUCACGAAAAAAAUGCAUAACAGCACAAGCGUGUACACUUUGAGAGAAGUAUACAUUUCGUCGCCUCUGAAUAAAAGGGCGUUAACUCGGAAGCCGAUUGAAAAGGGCAUUAACUCGGAAACCGAUUGGAAAAGAUGUUAACUGGGAAGUCGGUUGAAAAAGGCAUUAAUUCGCCUGAUAAAAUUGUUCGCUUUAUUUUAAGUUGGCAGCACUGCCGAAAUAAUUUUCGUGCUCGAUUUAAAACAUAAACAUAAACAUUGAAACGAAAAUGAAGAUGCACAUAUAGGUAGAGCAUUAAAACUAUUUCGGCAGUGUCAAAACUUAAAUUGAAACGAAAAAUUUGAACGCGCGAGUUAACGCCUUUUCAACUGUUUUCCAGUUAACGCCUUUCUUAAUCAACUUCCGAGUUAACGCUCUUUUCAAACAGCUUCUUAGUUAACACUUUUUUAUUCGGAUGCGACGAUUUGCAGUUUUUACAACACGUGAUAAGUUACAAGUCGAGCCAGCUUUGCUUCCUCUGAAUUCAAGCCGCAUAAAAUGCCAUUCACAAAUAUAAUAAACGAUAAAUACUUUAGUACAAGUAAAGCAAACGAUAUUUCUCAAGGUUUGAUAGCGUGUUUAUAAUUUGUAAAUUGUUUUUGAAAAGCAGCGGCUUUCGUCAAAUAGUAAUAAAGUGAAAUACGAAGGGCGCGUCGUAACGGAAGACAGCGAUGAUAUAUCAAAGAUCGUAGUAUUUCGUAUACGUCAUUUACAUACAUUAUACAUAUAUAUAUAAAUUUUUCUUGACUAGUAUGUAUGUAUAUAUAUUUUAUAUAUAAUUUGUAAAUUUACGUAUGUGUCCUGUGAGUUCUAAAAACUUAAAUUUGUUUAAUGUUACAUAAGUCGAUCUCUCGAUGACUUAUGUAAUUAUUUGUUAAUAAAACUUGAUUUGGCGAGAUUAGCAUUCGAUUUUCACGAAACAGUCACAAGAGCUAAUAUGACGUUUCGUGAUUCCGUGCUAUUAUAUUACCGUAUACUGCUCUACCGAGCUGAAUACGUUUGUAUAAAUGUAGAAUAUUUUUUUGUAUAAAUCGCAACAUGUGUACAUAAACCGGAUGCAUCGAUAAUCGAGAAACUGACGUGUGUAAAGCUAUCACGAAUUUUUGCACAAAAUAAAAAGAUGCUUUCAAUAGAUACAAAUGAGAUGAUAUAACCCCCGUGUUAGUAUCAAAAGGAUCAAGUGCGAUCGGAAAAAAAGUCAAUAAGUGCAGCCGCAGUUUAGUGUAUUAGACAUCGCUGAAAUACAGUACAGCUCGUGUCUUUAACUCGGGGUGUCGUUACUCCAGUGUAAUAAUCGUGGAUAAAAAUAGGUGUCGAGGAAUAUCCACGUCCAAAAGAAUAACAAAAAAAGUCGCAAAGCAUUAACGUUGAAACGUUUACGAAUUAUUUUCCGAGAGAAUUUGAUCGAGAGGAAACGGUGCUCCUUUUUGGUCUCGCUGAAGCAAUCUCGCGUCGAUUUAUGACACGACGGUAGGAUAGAUUAUGAUCAUUUCAUAAAAAAAAAAAA
Molecule: RNA transcript, 5377 nt
Organism: Monomorium pharaonis (pharaoh ant)
Lineage: Eukaryota; Metazoa; Arthropoda; Insecta; Hymenoptera; Formicidae
Gene name: casein kinase I
Exons: 10
Source: RefSeq, a predicted model, not a curated record